RNAcentral lists this ribosomal RNA (440 nucleotides) under uncultured bacterium. Its description in RNAcentral is "partial 16S ribosomal RNA". It matches the Rfam family "Bacterial small subunit ribosomal RNA", at positions 338 to 795 of the family's 1533-position model. The record is from RNAcentral.
CCUACGGGAGACAGCAGUGGGGGAUAUUGCACAAUGGGGGGAACCCUGAUGCAGCGACGCCGCGUGGGUGAAGGAGCGCUUCGGCGCGUAAAGCCCUGUCAGCAGGGAAGAAAAUGACGGUACCUGACCAAGAAGCCCCGGCUAACUACGUGCCAGCAGCCGCGGUAAUACGUAGGGGGCAAGCGUUAUCCGGAUUUACUGGGUGGAAAGGGGGCGCAGACGGCGAUGCAAGCCAGGAGUGAAAGCCCGGGGCCCAACCCCGGGACUGCUCUUGGAACUGCGUGGCUGGAGUGCAGGAGGGGCAGGCGGAAUUCCUGGUGUAGCGGUGAAAUGCGUAGAUAUCAGGAGGAACACCGGUGGCGAAGGCGGCCUGCUGGACUGCAACUGACGUUGAGGCCCGAAGGCGUGGGGAGCAAACAGGAUUAGAUACCCCUGUAGUC